AAAGGAAUUGACGGGGGCCCGCACAAGCAGUGGAGUAUGUGGUUUAAUUCGAAGCAACGCGAAGAACCUUACCGGGGCUUGACAUCCUCUUGACCGGCAUAGAGAUAUGCCUUCCCUUCGGGGCAAGAGUGACAGGUGGUGCAUGGUUGUCGUCAGCUCGUGUCGUGAGAUGUUGGGUUAAGUCCCGCAACGAGCGCAACCCUUAUCAUUAGUUGCUACAUUUAGUUGAGCACUCUAAUGAGACUGCCGUUGGCAAAACGGAGGAAGGUGGGGAUGACGUCAAAUCAUCAUGCCCUUUAUGUCCCGGGCUACACACGUACUACAAUGGCAUUUAACAAUGGGUAGCCAACCCGCGAGGGGGAGCCAAUCCCCAAAAAGUGCCUCAGUUCAGAUUGCAGGCUGCAACUCGCCUGCAUGAAGUCGGAAUUGCUAGUAAUCGUGAAUCAGCAUGUCACGGUGAAUACGUUCCCGGGCCUUGCACACACCGCCCGU
This 492-nucleotide ribosomal RNA is filed under the name uncultured bacterium. RNAcentral describes it as "bacterial SSU rRNA". It matches the Rfam family "Bacterial small subunit ribosomal RNA", at positions 903 to 1397 of the family's 1533-position model. The record is from RNAcentral.